CGUUACUUUAAACCAUUGCUAACCACCUUGACUAAUAACAUUUCACAUAAUAAAUAAACAAACUAUUGUUUAUCAAUGUUUAUUUAACUAGACGCUCAGUGCAUUUUUUAUUAGACGAACGCCUGCGGAAUGGCUUAAACCAAUCUUGUUUGGGUCCAGUGCAAGACCACUGAGGUUGAGGUUCAGUGGCCGCAAAAGUCACAAGUAAAAAACACAAAAUUCCCAAUAAGGCCUUCAUUUAAAAUUAAAGUUAAUUUUUCCAGCAAAGUGCCUUUAUAUAUAGCUUUUUACAAAAUGGAACUAAUGCGAUUACCACUACUUUAAAAUCUGUAUAAUUACCUUUAUAUUUCACUUGGAAUGCAAGCGAUGGCAAUUGCGCUGCACAAUUUCCUUUAGAAAUAUCGCAACUAUUUUCAAAAGUUUCUCCCAACUUAAUUACUUGUUCGUUUUGAGCGGACUGAAAUUUUUUAUUUCUUCGCACGAUUCCAAAUCGGAUUAGGCGUGCCAACUAUGUUCUUGAUUAAGUGAAUUCGCAAUAUGAGCUUCGCAUGAACUCAUCAAGUUUGUGUGCAAUCUAAUUGCAGCCAGCCUGCUGCUAAUUGCAUGUGUUUGGUGUGGUCGUGUUUUCCUUGGAGUUACGUUCUCUUCGCCAUACAAUUGACCCAUUUUCCAUUUUCCCCACCCUAACCAUCAAAGGGUCGAAAAGGGGGAAGUGAGAGAUUCAAAUACUGGCUGCUCCACUUAACUUGGCCAUUAGCAGAACGCAUAAAUUAUGCUUAUCAUUGGGUAUUAUUUGCACAUGUUCCGCUCGCCGGCUGCAUUGGGAGUUUUUAGUGCCUCAUAAUUGCAAUGGUCCACAACGGUGCCGUAAAAGAGGAGUCAUUUGAAGGAGCAGUUAACCAGGCGGAUCCCAUAAACUGCACAUGGUUGGCAGCCAAAAGGGAUGCAUAGUCGCCAAUUGGAUUUAAUGCACUUCCAGCUGCAGCAGCUUCCGUUUCAAUUUGGAUCCCAAAUGGGGUUAGGAUUAAUAUUAAAUGAGUGAAUGCAUGCUGCAUGAGUGAAUUAUUUACUCGAACUAAAUAACAAAAAAUUUGGCUGAAUUGUGAGUGUCGUUUUGGAGAUUAGAAAUAAGAGACUGCUAUUGUGGGGUUCAUGAAAUGUGGAUAUCUUUUCACUAUUAUAAAAUAUAUUUUAGGACAUUAGCGUUAACAAUAUGUCCUCUAGUAAGCUCGGAAAUUGUAAAGUUUAUGGGGUGGAAGAGCACGCCUCGAACUUCUGGGCACAAUUAGGUGAUACGCUCGGCUAUGUCAUAAUGAACAUGAAGUACAGCGCACUUAGUUUUCCCCCUCCCCCCACCACCCUGAACAAUAUUCGCUCAACAAUGACACAACUCUGCUGCAUAGUUUUCCCCAUUUUCUUUUGUCCCGCUGUUGCUGCAGUUGCUCCUGGCAGCCCACAACCCAACAUUUCCUUUCACAAGGAACAACAAUAAAUUGCAAUACCCCUGCUCCUGCUGCGCGUGAAACCGACGCUAUAUAGUGGUAUAUAGCCAGCUGCCUGAGGCGGAAAGCACAGACCGAGUACCAUUUCCCAAGAAGAACGGGCUUUUCAUUUGCUUUCCACAAUUCCACUUCGCCGUAAUCGACAACACGCAUUCUUCGCAUUUAAAUUGCUUUCGCGUGGAAUUGACAGCAAGGUUGCAGGAGCAGCUGCUGCAUUUCGCCCACCGUUUACUUAAUUUAUUUAAUAACGUGCCACAUUACCAUGAUUCGGACUGGAGUUUAGGUGCCUCCAAUUAUUGCCAAUCGUUUGCCGGCGAGUCCUUGACAUUAAGUUCUUGCCAAACGCUGAUUGCCCACAUGUGUUUCUAAUCACUGUUGCCCGUUAAUUUGCAUAGCAAAACGAAUUCGAUCGGAAUUUAUUUGUAUUUGCUAUUUUGCCUAAUGUGUUUAAAAUACAGCCGACAGCAAAUGCACAAAAUGCGCACGUGACAUGCAAGCGAAUGCAAGUUUUGCUGCGAAAUUGCAAACUUUAUGCAAAACCAAUUUAACUUGGUCCGGGCGCACAAAAAGUUGCAACUUUCUGAUUUCUGCAGCUCGUGCAUGGCCUGAUUUUCAAUAAUUUUGUAAAGCAAUAAAAGCGGAGCAAGUGGAGCAGCCAAAAAUCGCACUCCACGGCUCGAGACAUCCUCGUAAAUCUGCAAGCCGUCCCGAAAAAUGGCGCAUACAAAUGGGUGAAAGGAAAAGCAUUGCCGCAAACAUAAAAAAGUGAAACUCAAUAAUGGCAGGUGCAGUGCGCUUGGCUUUUUUAUCUGGGCCAGGUGAAACCUGCAAUUUUCCGCUGGCCCGAGGCUCCGUUGAUGGGCUAAAGCGCCAUUUAAAUAAGCCGCAAAGAGAUACUGCAUAAAGGACGAGUACUAUGAGUACCAUAUACAUAUAUAUGUAUAUAUGUACUCUUACUAUAUAUAUUUAUCCUUUUCGGCUCAGAGUGACGCCGCCUGUCUUUUUCGUCUUUUGCGCUGCGCUUUGGCCUCAUUAGCGUGCAACGUGGCGUAUGCGUAACGUGUUUCACUCUCACCUGACACACUCCUCCGCCUGAAAGCCCCGUCAACAUAAAUUCCAAAGGCGUCAUGUGCCCGACCCGCGUGACACUACACACAUCGCAUUCACACACAAAAGCCCAACCCCCGUGUGUGAAAAAUGGCCACUGCUAUAAAUACGAUUUGUAUAGCGCUCUAGAGCAAAAAAACAUUGCAAAUAAAGGAAAACUGUCAGCGUGCGCAUUCAUCGAAAGGAGAAA
Molecule: long non-coding RNA, 2799 nt
Organism: Drosophila yakuba
Lineage: Eukaryota; Metazoa; Arthropoda; Insecta; Diptera; Drosophilidae
Exons: 2
Source: RefSeq, a predicted model, not a curated record